CAGUCCCCGAGAGACUCUCUCGAGAUUUUCCACUAACUUGUCAAGCUUACGGGUGCUCAACAAACCUUUACAACUUAAGGACGCACGCCUUAACACCUUUGCUCAGAGAUACAACACUCCAAGACUUCAACCAAGGAAACACGUUCCUUACAACAAGAGAAUCACAAUUCUCUAACAAGUGUACAAAACACUAAACACUCAAACAAAACACUCCUUAAUGAGUAGAUAUGAGUAAAAGAAGUAGGCUCAAGACUACAACUACUAUGGACAAGACUUUGGCUCUCAAAAGCUUUAUGAAAUGAAUAUAAAAUGAUAAACAAUAAUAUGCAAGCUUAUAGCAAUAGAAUGAUCAGUUGUUNNN
This 361-nucleotide long non-coding RNA is filed under the name Nicotiana benthamiana. RNAcentral describes it as "long non-coding RNA (NBEN_LNC005015)". The record is from RNAcentral. Lineage: Eukaryota; Viridiplantae; Streptophyta; Magnoliopsida; Solanales; Solanaceae.